UGCCGGUCGAAGAUACCAGGCCGCUGCGACUGUUUAUUAAAAACACAGCACUCUGCAAACACGAAAGUGGACGUAUAGGGUGUGACGCCUGCCCGGUGCCGGAAGGUUAAUUGAUGGGGUUAGCGCAAGCGAAGCUCUUGAUCGAAGCCCCGGUAAACGGCGGCCGUAACUAUAACGGUCCUAAGGUAGCGAAAUUCCUUGUCGGGUAAGUUCCGACCUGCACGAAUGGCGUAACGAUGGCGGCGCUGUCUCCACCCGAGACUCAGUGAAAUUGAAAUCGCUGUGAAGAUGCAGUGUAUCCGCGGCUAGACGGAAAGACCCCGUGAACCUUUACUAUAGCUUUGCACUGGACUUUGAAUUUGCUUGUGUAGGAUAGGUGGGAGGCUUUGAAGCGUGGACGCCAGUCUGCGUGGAGCCAACCUUGAAAUACCACCCUGGCAACUUUGAGGUUCUAACUCAGGUCCGUUAUCCGGAUCGAGGACAGUGUAUGGUGGGUAGUUUGACUGGGGCGGUCUCCUCCUAAAGAGUAACGGAGGAGUACGAAGGUGCGCUCAGACCGGUCGGAAAUCGGUCGUAGAGUAUAAAGGCAAAAGCGCGCUUGACUGCGAGACAGACACGUCGAGCAGGUACGAAAGUAGGUCUUAGUGAUCCGGUGGUUCUGUAUGGAAGGGCCAUCGCUCAACGGAUAAAAGGUACUCCGGGGAUAACAGGCUGAUACCGCCCAAGAGUUCAUAUCGACGGCGGUGUUUGGCACCUCGAUGUCGGCUCAUCACAUCCUGGGGCUGAAGCCGGUCCCAAGGGUAUGGCUGUUCGCCAUUUAAAGUGGUACGCGAGCUGGGUUUAGAACGUCGUGAGACAGUUCGGUCCCUAUCUGCCGUGGACGUUUGAGAUUUGAGAGGGGCUGCUCCUAGUACGAGAGGACCGGAGUGGACGAACCUCUGGUGUUCCGGUUGUCACGCCAGUGGCAUUGCCGGGUAGCUAUGUUCGGAAAAGAUAACCGCUGAAAGCAUCUAAGCGGGAAACUUGCCUCAAGAUGAGAUCUCACUGGAACCUUGAGUUCCCUAAAGGGCCGUCGAAGACUACGACGUUGAUAGGUUGGGUGUGUAAGCGCUGUGAGGCGUUGAGCUAACCAAUACUAAUUGCCCGUGAGGCUUGACCAUAUAACACCCAAGCAAUU
RNAcentral lists this ribosomal RNA (1177 nucleotides) under Pseudomonas syringae. Its description in RNAcentral is "partial 23S ribosomal RNA". It matches the Rfam family "Bacterial large subunit ribosomal RNA", at positions 1771 to 2925 of the family's 2925-position model. Lineage: Bacteria; Pseudomonadati; Pseudomonadota; Gammaproteobacteria; Pseudomonadales; Pseudomonadaceae. The record is from RNAcentral.